GUGAACGCUGGCGGUAGGCCUAACACAUGCAAGUCGAACGGCAGCACAGAGGAGCUUGCUCCUUGGGUGGCGAGUGGCGGACGGGUGAGGAAUACAUCGGAAUCUACUCUUUCGUGGGGGAUAACGUAGGGAAACUUACGCUAAUACCGCAUACGACCUUCGGGUGAAAGCAGGGGAUCGCAAGACCUUGCACGAUUGAAUGAGCCGAUGUCGGAUUAGCUAGUUGGCGGGGUAAAGGCCCACCAAGGCGACGAUCCGUAGCUGGUCUGGGAGGAUGAUCAGCCAGAGUGGAACUGAGCGACGGUCCAGACUCCUAGGGGAGGCAGCAGUGGGGAAUAUUGGACAAUGGGCGCAAGCCUGAUCCAGCCAUACCGCGUGGGUGAAGAAGGCCUUCGGGUUGUAAAGCCCUUUUGUUGGGAAAGAAAAGCACACGGUUAAUACCCGAGUGUUCUGACGGUACCCAAAGAAUAAGCACCGGCUAACUUCGUGCCAGCAGCCGCCGUAA
This 505-nucleotide ribosomal RNA is filed under the name uncultured bacterium. Its description in RNAcentral is "partial 16S ribosomal RNA". It matches the Rfam family "Bacterial small subunit ribosomal RNA", at positions 29 to 523 of the family's 1533-position model. The record is from RNAcentral.